Molecule: ribosomal RNA, 275 nt
Filed under: uncultured Pseudomonas sp.
Lineage: Bacteria; Pseudomonadati; Pseudomonadota; Gammaproteobacteria; Pseudomonadales; Pseudomonadaceae
Description: partial 16S ribosomal RNA
Rfam family: Bacterial small subunit ribosomal RNA
Source: RNAcentral
CGUCCUUAGUUACCAGCACGUUAUGGUGGCACUCUAAGGAGACUGCCGGUGACAAACCGAGGAAGGUGGGGAUGACGUCAAGUCAUCAUGGCCCUUACGGCCUGGGCUACACACGUGCUACAAUGGUCGGUACAAAGGGUUGCCAAGCCGCGAGGUGGAGCUAAUCCCAUAAAACCGAUCGUAGUCCGGAUCGCAGUCUGCAACUCGACUGCGUGAAGUCGGAAUCGCUAGUAAUCGUGAAUCAGAAUGUCACGGUGAAUACGUUCCCGGGCCUU